UCUUUCACAAAAAGCUUUCUCUCACAAAAGCUCUCUUUUUAGGAAAACUCCUUGAAUCCCUAAAGUGACCGCUGUCCGCUAUCCAACAGUCUGCCUGAAGCCCCUGCUCCUGCUCUUGUGGGUGUCUCGCUUCUGUUUUCUGGAUUCUCUGCCGAACAAAGCCAUGCACACACCCUCUGUUCCGUGAAUAGAAUUUUUUAAAGGCUUAAAAUCGUGAAAGAAUAGGAUACAGAC
This 234-nucleotide long non-coding RNA is filed under the name Elaeis guineensis (African oil palm). RNAcentral's name for it is "long non-coding RNA (EGUI_LNC001451)". The record is from RNAcentral. Lineage: Eukaryota; Viridiplantae; Streptophyta; Magnoliopsida; Arecales; Arecaceae.